This 190-nucleotide small RNA is filed under the name Chrysemys picta bellii (western painted turtle). RNAcentral's name for it is "TUC338 (ENSCPBG00000022972.1)". Lineage: Eukaryota; Metazoa; Chordata; Testudines; Emydidae. The record is from RNAcentral.
UCGAAGCCCUAAAGACUGAAGUCUGCUAUCCACACAACAGGUUCAGCAUGGGCAGUGGCAGUACUAGCUUCCCACAUGUUGCCACCUGCUAGUGUGCCCCCCUCCCCAUAAUCAUUCACUCCUUGGCAGUGGCCUCUUUGCUGAGGCUGCUAGAAAGGGGGCAUACAGUGGGGUUCAACACAUGGGUCAC